AUUUAAAGUGCUUUAGGGUGGCAGCUGUUCAUUUCUGCACAUUCCAAUGCCUUAAGGAGAAUUAUUCUCCAGGCUUAUUUUUGUCAGUGUGUGCCUUGGUGUUGCAAUACCAUUCGUCUUCCCUCUCUAACAUCCCAGAUGUCCCUGAAGUCACUGGGAGAAGAAACCACACGAGACAAAUGCUGGUUGAGACUAAAAUAUUGUUCGAGUGUGCGUUAAUCUUUUUUCUUUUCCCAAACAGGUGCCAAUUCAUCAGCCCAGAUCCAAGGAAGGAUGUGGGCUCUGCAUUCUUUGUUUCUAGGCAUUAGACCUUCCAGAGAGACCCAGAGUGCUGGGAAGGCGCCUGGCUCCGUACAGCACCUGAGGAAGAGGCUAAUCACUACUGAAUGCAAAAUGCAACAGCUGCUGCUGAUGAAAGCCACAAAGGGACCAGUGCAAAGGGGAUGUGUGAUGAAGCUACGCACUCCAUCCUGGUUCAGGGGUUGGUUGAGUUAAGGAGACUGCAGUCACCAGAGGCACAAAACCAACAGUCUCAGCACUUUUGUGGUUUCUUCCUGUAAUCUUUGCAACAGCUUCCAGGUUAGACCUAAGGUGUUGGUUUUCUCUUCCUCUCAGCUUCCCCUAAAGCCCCGUGCAGAAGUACUUUCCUCCAGAGCAGGCUGGAAAGCCUCAAAUGGUGAUUAACCAAAGGUGCCCACUGCAGAAAGUAGGCUAGAAAAACCUGCUCUGCAAAUUGCUCCAACUCUCUCCACCCUAGGCAAAGAGUAGUUUUUAGGAACCUUUCUUGUGGUUUGAGUAAAAUCCCAUUAAAAGGCCACCAGAGGGGGUAGCUUCCACUGCUGCACAGAAGACCCAGAGAGCUGGUGCCAGCAUGGCACACAUUACUGUUAUUAUUUAUAGUACUCUACCUAUACUUAUGUAAGUGGUGCUAAUUAGUAGAUGGAAUUAGCCAACUGCUCUCGGCAGCAUAAUUGUAAAUAAUUUCCUAACGUUUCACUCACUGAGUAAUGAGUUUCUCCUGGAAACACAAAAGAUGAACUAAUGAUAAUCUGGCAGUUUCCAGCAAGAUGACAAACAUUAAUUAUAUGGGAUUAGGAUGUGAUCCUCCAAUUUAAGUCAGUUUGGCAUUUCUAGGCAGAGUUGGAUCUAAGAACUUUAGUGGACUCGCUUGUCUGCAACAUUUUAUGUUGUUUUAUUUUUCUUUUUCCUAAUUUUAAGCUGCCUUUUAGCUUUAUGUUUUACCCAUAUAUCCAGCCACCACCAACUGCUUUGUGGGCAGAACUGCCAGGCCAGGCUUUCUGACAAGAUAGUCAUAUAAUUAUGCAUGAAAAAUAUGUACAGUGUCAGGCUAAUUUGCGUUUAAAAAUGACUGUGCCAAGAGACUGGCCCACUGACCAUUCGGGGCUGGAGCUGGGCUCUUGGUGCCUUUAUGAUUAGGCAGAUACGGGAUGCUUAAACGUGGGGCAUGCAAAGUACUCAGGUCAGCUCCAGAAGAGUGGUGCCAGUAAUACUGGGACACAAAAUAUUCACUGACCAAGGCCAUGUCAGCAAACGGGACCUUUGAUGCUUUUCAAGGGGCUCUGCUAACUGCUGAAUGUCCUUGGAAACUUCCUUUGAGCUAAUGUGCGAACUCUGGAGCUAAGGUGGAAUCCUAAUCGCAGGGACAAGCUUCAUCUACUGAUGCAGCCUUACUUCUUCCGGAUCCAGCAAGGUUUUUCACACAAAACGCUGACCAAAUCCAUCUUUCCAUCUACAUCUACAGAGAUGUCGAUAUGAAACUGGGAGUAAGGAUGCAGACUCAAGCUAAAGAAGUUCAUUUUAAAAUUUCUGAGUUCCACUCAUCCUUAUGUAUUCUGAAUAAGAUGCAGGGCAAUUGCAGUUUCCACAUUUGUGGAAAAUGGAAUUUGGUAUAUGGUAAUCUUACUGUUUUCCUCAUAUUCACUAGUUUUCUAUAAAUAAUAAAAAUGCAUGAUAAUCAC
Molecule: long non-coding RNA, 1979 nt
Organism: Anser brachyrhynchus (Pink-footed goose)
Lineage: Eukaryota; Metazoa; Chordata; Aves; Anseriformes; Anatidae
Source: Ensembl